This 128-nucleotide small RNA is filed under the name Marmota monax (woodchuck). Lineage: Eukaryota; Metazoa; Chordata; Mammalia; Rodentia; Sciuridae. The record is from RNAcentral.
GCUGGGCGUGGUGGCGCAUGCCUGUAAUCCCAGCCUGCUCAGGAGGCAGAGGCAGGAGGAUCGCAAGGUCAAAGCCAGCCUGAGCAAUUUAGUGAGGUGCUAAGCAACUCAGUGAGACUCUGUCUCUA